Pyrgilauda ruficollis (rufous-necked snowfinch) is the source of this 8809-nucleotide RNA transcript. It is a transcript of the gene named ubiquitin specific peptidase 31, with no coding region annotated. NCBI's taxonomy places the organism in Eukaryota, Metazoa, Chordata, Aves, Passeriformes, Passeridae. The transcript has 18 exons. The record is from RefSeq and is a predicted model, not a curated record.
GGGCCCGCCGCGCAGCCCCGAGCCCCCGCCGCGCCCCGCCGGCACCUCCGAGGCCGUGCCCGGCGUGGCGGGGCUGCGCAACCACGGCAACACCUGCUUCAUGAACGCCAUCCUGCAGUGCCUCAGCAACACCGAGCUCUUCGCCGAGUUCCUGGCGCUGGAGCAGUUCCGCGGCGGGCCGCCCCCCGCCGACGGGCCGCCGCCCGCGCCCGGCGAGGUCACGGAGCAGCUGGCGCAGCUGGUGCGGGCGCUCUGGACGCUCGAGUACACCCCGCAGCACAGCCGCGACUUCAAGAACAUCGUGUCCAAGAACGCGAUGCAGUACCGCGGGAACGCCCAGCACGACGCCCAGGAGUUCCUGCUCUGGCUGCUCGACAGAGUCCACGAGGAUUUGAACAACGUGGUGAACUCCGGUGGCAUGCCUCCACUCAAGCCGCCGCUGGAGGAUGAUGUGCUGCUGGAGGGCCCAGCCUUUCCCAUCAGUAGCACGUUUGUGCAGGAACUCUUUCAAGCCCAGUACAGGUCCUCCCUGACGUGCCCUCAUUGCCAGAAGCAGAGCAACACCUUUGACCCUUUCCUGUGCAUCUCGCUGCCGAUCCCUCUGCCGCACACUCGGCCCCUCUAUGUCACCGUGGUGUACCAGGGCAAGUGCUCGCACUGCAUGCGCAUCGGGGUGGCCGUGCCCAUCUCCGGAACAGUGGCCAGGCUGAGGGAGGCUGUCUCCUCGGAAACCAAGAUACCCACGGAGCAGAUCGUGCUGACAGAGAUGUACUACGAUGGGUUCCAUCGCUCCUUCUGCGACACCGACGACUUGGACACCAUCCACGAGAGCGACUGCAUCUUUGCCUUUGAGACCCCAGAGAUCUUCAGGCCUGAGGGCAUCCUCAGUCAGAGAGGAAUACAUGUGAACAAUAACCUGAAUAACUUGAAAUGUGGCACUGAGCACUCCCGAACAAUAGCUUACUCUCAAGGAACGGUGAAGUCUGGAAAACUGGAACAGUCCUGUCCCAAACUAGCAGCAAAUGACAAGAUUGUCUUGCUGGUGUGUAACAGAGCGUGCACUGGACAGCAGAGCAAAAGGUUUGGCUUGCCCUUUGUGUUGCACUUGGAAAAAACAAUUGCUUGGGAUAUUCUGCAGAAGGAAAUACUGGAGAAGAUGCAGUAUUUCCUGCGGCCUGCAGCCUGCUUGCAGGUUUGCCCCUUCAGCCUGCGAGUGGUCAGUGUUGUGGGCAUAACAUACUUGCUACCUCAGGAGGAGCGACCCCUCUGCCACCCAACAGUGGAAAGGGCAUUGAAGUCAUGCGGACAGGGGGGAACUGCUCAUGUGAAAUUAGUGGUAGAAUGGGACAAAGAAACUAAAGAUUACUUGUUUGUGAAUACAGAAGAGGAAUAUAUUCCAGACUCUGAAAGCGUCCGCCAGCAGAGAGAGCUUCAUCAUCAACCUCAGAUCUGCACUUUAUCUCAGUGUUUCCAACUGUACACCAAAGAGGAACAGCUUGCCCCAGAUGAUGCAUGGCGAUGCCCACACUGCAAGCAGCUGCAGCAGGGCAGCAUCACACUGAGCCUCUGGACCUUACCUGACGUUCUCAUCAUACAUCUCAAAAGGUUUAGGCAGGAAGGAGACCGAAGGAUGAAACUUCAGAACAUGGUUAAAUUUCCCUUGAGUGGCUUGGACAUGACUCCUCACGUUGUGAAACGCAGCCAGAGCAGCUGGAGCUUGCCAUCACACUGGUCACCUUGGAGGAAACCUUAUGGCCUCGGCAGAGAUCCUGAGGACUACAUCUAUGACCUGUAUGCUGUCUGCAACCACCACGGCACCAUGCAAGGCGGGCAUUAUACAGCAUAUUGCAAGAAUUCUGUUGAUGGCCAGUGGUACUGCUUCGAUGACAGUGAAGUUCAGCAACUUUCUGAAAGUGAAGUCUGCAAGCAGACCGCUUAUAUCUUGUUCUACCAGCGACGCACAGCGAUCCCCUCGUGGUCUGCCAACAGCUCGGUGGCAGGCUCCACCAGCUCGUCGCUGUGCGAGCACUGGGUCAGCCGGCUCCCGGGCAGCAAGCAGCCCAGCGUCGCCUCGGCCGCCUCCUCGCGCCGCACCUCGCUCGCCUCGCUCUCCGAGUCCGUGGAGCUGACCGGGGAACGCAGCGAAGAUGACGGAGGAUUUUCAACUCGACCAUUUGUAAGGAGUGUCCAGCGUCAGAGCUUGUCAUCCAGAUCCUCUGUCACCAGCCCUCUGGCAGUGAGUGAAAAUGGUGUCAGGCCCUCGUGGUCACUCUCUGCAAAGCUGCAGUUCCGCUCCAACUCCCCGUCGCGCUUCUCUGGAGACUCCCCAGUACAUACCUCUGCUUCCACUCUGGAGAAGAUUGGGGAAGCUGCUGACGAUAAAGUUUCCACCUCGUGCUUUGGCAGCCUGAGGAAUCUCUCUAGCAGCUACUUGGAGCCCUGUGACAGCAGCCGGCGGGAGCACAGGACAGCUCGCAGAGCCCCUUUGGCUGUCAUGGAAGGGGCGUUCAGGGAAGAGUCCGUUGUAAGGACAUCUAGCUCAGACCUUUCAGAUGGGUAUGGUAAAAGCUCUGUGCAGCCAGACAGGAAUCACCCUGCUCUGGACCCCUUUGAUAACAACAAUCAAAUUGCCUUUGUUGACCAGAGUGACUCUGUGGACAGCUCCCCAGUGAAGGAGGUGAAAGCCCCAGCUGGGACGGGGCUGCCUGCAGAGAAGGCACAUGACACCCCUAAGAAGGGUCACAGCUCCAAAGGAGCUUCUGAGCCAGACAAAAGUUUGAGGAAGGGAAGGACAGUCUUAGCUACCCAAGAGACCAAAGUCUCUCACUCUUCUCCUCCACUGAAGAGUUCUCAGAAAGCUUCCCGGUCUAGAAGUAAGACAGACUCCUCUAGGGUCAGCGGGCGACACGGGUCUCCUGCUCCCACGCAGGCUAGGAAGGACCACAGCACAAAGCCCCUGGAGGCAUCUGUCCCUUCAGCUCCACAGAAGCAGAAGUCAGGUUCUCCAUCCUCCACGGCUGCCAAGAAAACCCCGUCAGGCUCAUUGACUAAGGGCUCUUCCUCCGGGAAGAGCCGGACUGCCGAGCGCAGCCUCAGCAGGGAGGGCUCCAAGGUCAGUCUGGGGUCGGAUAAAGCGAGCGUUACCAGCAGCUCCAGGACCAGCUCCCCACGGAUCAGCCACUCCAGGAGUGACAGCAGGGCGGUGGACAGCAAGCACGUGCGCAGCUCCUCCAUGGCCAACCUGCGCUCCCCGAACGUCGCGGCGCGUUCUGGCCUGAAGAGGGACAGCAAGUCGGAAGAGAAGGGUUUGUCUUUCUUUAAAUCAGCCUUAAGGCAGAAGGAGACACGGAGGUCGGCAGACCUGGGGAAGACAACAAUGCUUUCAAAAAAGGCAGGGAGUGUCAGUUCCAAGUCGGGCAGUAAAAAUGUGCUGGAGGACAAACCGGAGAAAGGUGGUGUCCCACCAGCCUCUCAAACCAAUGCCAACAUUGCUACAAAAGAAAAACUUGUCUCAAAAGAUGCCACAUCUAACAAACAUUCUCUGCUAUCCAGUCGCAAGUCCAAGUCUUCCCAGCUAGAUCCCGGAGUCCAGUCUCCUCCUUCCAGUGGCAAGCAGUCUGCUGACAAGCCGCUGAAAAAAAUACCUUCCAGCAUGCAGGUGUCUGUACGGCCUUCUCUGGAACCUCAGUGAAAUGCUGCAAUCCAGGUGUCUUUUCUUCUGCUGAGAAGCUAAUUUAUUCUGAGCUCUUGUUUUUUGUUCAUGUGCCUAAUGUAUGUUUUGAGGAGAAGUUAACUGCAAGUUGUUAAAGCGCCUUUGAUUCUGCCAUCAAACCAAAUAGCCACAGGCAGCCAGCACUGGUGCAAGUAGCCUAGCUGGAGUCGUUGUUGAACAUGAAUGCAGCUGUCCCAUAGCACUUGUACAGGAGUCUCUGUCGAAAGUGCAACAACUUUCUUCAGAUUUGAGGGUUGGGACCUGACCCCCCGUUGUACUGACACUGGUGUGCUUUGUAGAGCUGUGAACUGAUAUUCCUUUGGUCCUGUUCUGAGUGGGCUGUGUCCACACUGGUGUAUGGCCUUGUUCUGAGCUGUGGAGGAUGCGAAGGAAACUGGAGAGACUGUCGCUUCUUUCUGCUCUCAACUCCCUGUCCCUGCUCCCCUCCAUUUCCAAGCUUUCUAAAGGGCAAUAUUUCAACACUAAUGUUGUUUCUCAGGAACUCCUGUCCGUGGUAUUGUGUUGUCCAGCUGCCAGGAUGUGGCAUGGUACCAGGGAACACUCGAGAGAGGGAUCUGCCAAGUCCUAGAUGCCAACACCACCGUGGCUUUGCAUAUGGAUCCUUCAAGCAGCAAUGGCUUGAGGCUCUUCUGGAGCAGCUGCAUUUACAUGGUCAUGUCUUAAAGUUCCUGCUGGCCAUCAGAAGCACUCAUGGCUCUGGGGGAGGUGGGCUCUGCCAUCUCCCAGAGGCUGCUGCUGCCCAGGGACCUCUGCCUCCCCUGGCUGGUGGCACGUAGGGCCUGGAAGUCUCAUGGGCAUCUGAGUGUGGUGGGAGCAGCUGCUGCCAGCUCUGUCCUGCCCUGCCUGUCUGGGGAGGGCGGGGUCUGGGACCUUCUGCCGAGGUUUUGGAAGCAAAGGUAUGCCUCAUGGUGAUGGGAACUGCCUGGGAAGGGGGAGGCCCAGCAGUGUCCCUGAUCCCAGACAGGUGAGCUCCAAGGCAAAGCAGGUGUUCAGGCAGUGUGUUUCCACUUGGCUUUGGGUUGGAGUUGCCUGUGCCAGCGUGUGACUUGCAUUUCACCCCACGUCCCUAGUCUGCCACUUGCUCCUGCUCCUGGAAUUGGCCCCCUGGGCGCAGGAGAGCAGCGCCUUCAUUCCAGUGCUCAAUUCCUGCAGGAGUCACCUAGAGACUUUUUUUUUUUACCCUUUUCGGGCUGUGUCUUUUGGACAGUGUUUAGUAGUAUUCAAGUUAUAAGCACAUUUUCGAUGACGUGUAUUGAAGAGGCACCUUUUAUUUGUAUUAAUCACAUUUGAUAGACAAUUUGGUGCCUGCAGUUCUCUGUAACUUGUGUCUCACUUUGGGUGUGUAAAUUGUUAACCCUUUCACACUUAUCAAAUAUGAAUUAAUAAAAACAAGAUGCUUAGGAUAGAAAGCUAGCAGCUUAAUUGCACUUCUCCCACUGCAAGUGCCCUCAUGCGCCGUCGCUGCAGGGGUUUUGCUUCCUGAAGCUGAACUUGAGCAUGCCCAACCACUUUCCUCGGUGCCAGGCAGCUUGCAUGGCCGUGCUGUCCCCUGCAUGUCCCUCCUAACUAUGCAAGCCUCAGCCCAGCGUGGCUCUGGAGCUGGUGCAGCUGCUGCUGGACACAGGAGCAUGUCCCUGGGCCCUGCUUCCUUUGCACAUCUUUGGCUCUUUCCUUUGCAGGAUUCCGCGUUACUGACAAGGCUGGAGCGUAACGUAAGGGUGUGCAGUGCUGGCUCCAGACGCAGAGGAGAGCGUGGAUGGGCGGCUCCUGCUGCCACCUGCCCCAGCCCGGCGAGGAUGAGGAUGGAGCAAGGCAGGAGGAGGACAGGCUGCCUCUGCUGGGUGCUGAAUGGAAACCCUCUGUCCUUGGUGGAGUGUUUGCAUGAGCCAGCCUGGGCAGGGAGAGCUGCUCCAGCUGCCAGUCUCGGGGCAAAGGGGGCACAGGAGGCUUUGCCCACCCAGGGUCUCCUCUGGGCAGGGGGAUGGAAGAGGACGUGCCCCCUGUGCCUGCAGCCCUCUCUGUGUGGACUCAGAUCCUCCUGCUCCAGUGAGCCCUCGGAUCAGUGCAUCAGGGGCUGGCCUGGGCUUCACAAACUCGCCUUUUAACACAAUUUUUGACUCUCAAGGGUUCUUUUUCUCUCCUGCUCCAUGCACAUUUUUGCAGGCGGGGACUGUUGCCAGGUGAGCAGCAUUAUCACCCCCAUGUGCUCACCAAAGGGGAGCUGUCAGUGAAUCCCCCUGGUUCCCCAAACCCCCAGAGGGGCUGUCCUGGUCUCCCCUUGCCUGGUGGUGGUUACAGAAAUGCUGAUGUUGGUGUUUAUCAACAGCUAAGCUGCAUCACCCUUGCCCACACGGUCCCGGGGCCCUGGGGGACACACGGCCCCUGCCGUGGAGCCUUGGUCUGUGUUUCCAUGUUCCCAUCCAUCCUGCUGGGCGUGCUGAGCUGGAGCUGAGCCCUGGGCUGAGGAGCUGGCUGCUGCCCUGGCCAGUCCCACACACGAAUCCCACCCCUGCCUGCACCAGAGGCUCUGCUUCACAGCUCGUGUAGAAAUGGGGAUGGCAGAUGUCAUAUUAAAUCAUGGGGUCAUCACUUAUUUAUAGGUGAUUACAUUAAAGAGAGAUUAAUAUAGCCAAAGGCUUCGCAGAAUUAGAGUUAAUGUACUUGUGUUUAUUAUAUUUGCCAACAUUUCUCCAAUCCAGCUGGGUUUUUCUGGCCACAGGGUUUAGCAGAGAGCCCACUGCCAUCCCCCAGCCUACCUGGGAGGGGGGUGCGAGGUCCAUGGAGAACCCUUGAGAACUCUGAUCUUGGAGUGGUCAGUUCUGCUGCCUCCCACUUCCUGAGGGUCCGUGGGCAGCGCCUGGGGCACGGGGAGGGCAGGGCAGGACUCAGCAAUGCUUAGAGUGGGGUCGGGAGGGGAGCCCGGCCUUGGGGCUCCCAGAUGCCACUCUCAGGCUGGGAUUAUGCUGUGUUUAACUGGGAUUAGACUGCUGCAGAGCUGGGCACGGGUUUCUGACACCCUGGGGACGGGCUGUGUCCCUGAGGGGCACUGGUGGGGACGUGCCAGCUGUGUCCUUGGUCCUGUGUCCCCAGAGCCUGGUCGGCUGUCACCUGUCCCGUGGGCUCUAGGGUGGCUGCUGCCAGCUCAGGGGACACCAGCAGAGCUGCCCUGCUGAUGGAUGAACCAGAGGAGCCAAGAACACCCUGUGUUUGGCUGGAGAUGCCAAACCACACAGGACUGGGCACUGGCUGUGCCAGUCAGGACUGGGUGCAUAGAGUGGAUGUGUGACUCCCUGCUGCUGCCUGGUGGGACACCUGCCUGCCUCUGAGAGCCAGAACAAAACCCACGCUCUGGGAGGCUGUCAAUAAAUUGUAACACAUUAGGCACUGUCACCCCUACCCCUGGACUCUUAAAUUUUGCUCUAAUUGGAGUACUGUUUUUCCUUCCUCAGCACUUUUUCCCCUCGGCCAGGUAUCGAUCCUGGCUCUGUGGGGAUCUGGCUAACUGUUGGCAAUUUAUGGGAACAUAAAACUAGUCCAUCGUAGAGCAAAAACCCAGCUUUUAAUGAGAAAUGGCGACAUCGGCCUCUGGCUGAUUCCAAGGUGGAUUUACCAUUCUACAGUGGGUCCCCAGGCCAGGGGAACAGGGGCUGUUGGGGGAAAGGGACCAUGAGGAGCCCCUUGGGCUGGGCUAGCUUGUGGGCAGGAGAGGCCUGAGGGGCUUUUGAAGAUGAGGGGGUCUCCUUUCUGGUCUCCUGUGCCCCUUCCCAUGGUGGUUGAGGUUCUGGCUGGGGUCCCCUGACCCCACAGCACCUGGGUCCAUAGUGUGUCCCCUCCUGCCUGGAGCUUGGUCCUGCUGCUGUGUGGCAGGAGCUGGUGGGCUGCAGCCUGGGCUGGGGCUGCAGGACACCUCUGGGAGUGAAGGGCUCAGGUGCUGGGCAACCUCCCAGCUCUUCCACCUUCCUUGCUCAGCUGCCCAGCCCCUCGUGGGGCUCUCCCCUGGUGAUGGAUGCCGGUGGCUUUGCAGCUUGAGGCUGGCUGUGAAUUCCCAGACCUGUGGGCCUUCAUCCCGCUGGGCUGUUCCUGCAGGUUUGGGGCAGUGGGCUCCUUGGGGGCAGGUCUGUGGGAUGAGGGGGCAGCUGGCACUCCCAGCCCCGCUCCUGAGCAUCCCCUCGCUCCCAGCCCGGCCAGCCGUGGCUCCCAGCCCGCAGACACGCUGUGCCCGCUCUGUCGCGCAGCGCCAGGGCGUGUUGUGGUGGGUGUCCCGGUGUGGAGCAGCUGCUCUCCCCGCCAUUUGCUGCCAUCUAAUUGCGGCUUUAUUGAAAUGAGUCUAAAUUGCCUGGGAAUGCAUUAGCCCGCUGUCUCCCUGCGGCUCGCUCCGCAGAACGCUCCCGUUCGCAAUCUCGUGGAACCGGCUCCCUGGAGAACCGGCGCAUUUCCCAACAGCCUUAAUGAGCUUCCAGGCUGGGGUCGGAUUGUCUGGGCAGUGGUAACGGGGCCGGGGGCUCGCCCCUGCUGCCCCCAGCUCUGUGCUCCAGGCUGUGGAUAAAUAACUCUGCCCUGAGUCCCUUUGCUCCGGCAGCAGGCGCAGUGUGCACGUCGCAAAGCAAUUCUGGAGCCCCCGGGACAGUCUUGAAGCACUUUAAUGUUUUGCGAAUGAUUUAUUGAGGGUAACGAGCAGAUGAUAGACUGCAUUUCGAGGUGUGGAUUAUCUAUUAGAGCUCGUGUUGAAGGCAUCUGCGCUGACAAGCUGCUGCCGAGCAAGGCGAGUACGAGCGAUCUGUUGUGUUACAGGAGGGGUCAGCACCUCCUGCGGCAGCUUGGAGAGAGCCCAGUGCCCCGCCCGUGCUCUGGGGACAGCUCUGGGGACAGUCCUCUCUGAACCCCGGCUCGCAGCUCCUGUCACGCCUGGCCAGGAGGAGCUUGGUGGCGAUUCCCCCGGCGCUGGAUGGGCUCAUGGGCCGUGACACCCCCUCUGCAGCUCUCAGGGACAGAGCCGGGCAGGUGCUCCGCUGAUUUACGAGGUGAUUUGGAUCGUGGGGCCGGUCCCGGGCCCUGCUGCCCACCCUGCGGAAGGCG